GUUUUGGGACCCUUUUAAAUUUGAUUCGACACUUAAUUUAAGCUCAUUCAUUCACCUGUAGAAAUAGUGUGUAUUCCUAUGCACACCUUAAACAAACACCGUUGCUUCAAUCACGUAACCUGGAGAAUUCACGUUGCGUCUUAGAUUAGAUGCAAAUGUGGUUCUUCAAGAAAGAUCAGACACUGGGCGUGUUUUUUCUCCAAUGUUUACGUUAUGGAACUCAGUUAUGAAACGAAAUAAGGGGCGGGAUCAUUUGAAGUUACAUAACUUUUUUUUCCAUAAUUCAUUGAAUCGUCAGCCUCAAGGUGAACUUGAAAGGGGAAAAUGAGGAACUUUGACCAUAUUUUCAACUGACACGUGCUGAGGGCCCAUAAAUGCCCCAGUUGCACAAGGAGAUGUGACAUAAAAGCCCCUCCUUGGUCAUUCAUACCAAGCGUCAGUGAAGAGCGCACACAAAACGGUAAGCCGAAGGCAAAUUUAUGUUCGUACCAGUGCCACUGUACAAAACUACUGCUAAAUAUAACAUUUCUGUUUUUUAAUUAUUGCAUUUUAGGUUAUAUCGGCUGCAUUUUAGGCAUUGAGAAUGGCGAAACACAGUAAAAGCCUUUUGUUCGCCAUAAUGACGGCAGUGGUCUUCUUCAUCGUCGCCAUGGUCUUCAGCGCCCUGGCAGCUCAAGGGAAGCAUCCCUUCCUGGAGCCUACUGGCAACGUUUCAGAUGCCUUUGCCAAUGAGAUCACACCCUCAGGAUGGACCUUCAUCAUAUGGACCAUCAUUUACAUCUUCCUGGCAUUAGUGUGUGUCUACACGCUGGCUGGAUUAUUUAGGAAGUGAGUAGCUUUUUUAAAACAAUCGCACUACGUGUAGAUUGUGGCAGACAUGCCCACCUGUACAUUUUGUUUCCAUAGGAACGCUUAUGGUUACGUCUACUGCAGCCCUGCCAUUCUACCACAUGGGUUCUUUGUGGCCUGGUGCUUGAACCUGGGUCUCAAUGUUGGAUGGUUGUUCCUAUGGGACAGGAGGUUGAUGGCUGGAGCUCUGGUCUUCCUCAUCUUAGUUGCUUUGACCAACUACGUGAUGAUUUUCUACUCCUGCCACAGUCUCCACAUUUACGGCGCGUGGCUCAGCAAGUACCACAAAGUCGACCUGUGGCUCCACCGUGCGCUGGUUCAGAACGGCAUCGCCAUAUAUGCAACCUGGACAACUGUUGCCUCUCUGGUUAAUUUGAGCAUUGUGCUGGUCAAAGACGCAAAAAUGUCCCCAGAAGACGCGGUCACUCUUUCUUUCUCUCUUCUCACCGUGGUCUUGCUUGUUUGGUUCGUCCUGGAGAAUUCUCUCCUGGACAAAUACCUGAGGCACAUCCUCUCCAUUUACCCCGCUGUCAUCUGGGCCCUGACGGGGGUGUUCACCAAGAACUACAACACCGCACAGCCCACCCGCAAUAACGUCUUCAACGUUGCUCUGUUGGGCGUCAGCUGCACCUUGCUGGCCCUGCGCUUGGUUUUGGUCAUCUGGAAGAACAUGAAAAGGCCGCUGUUAGAAGACGCCAGCCCAGAGGUCAUGUCUCCAAUGGAGAUCGCCGAGAGACAGAAAAAGAUAUAUAUAUGAGAAUGUUGGAGUUUUGGUCAAGAUUAGGUGUUUUUUUUUUUGACAACGGUGAAGAGGUUUUAUCGUUUAUGUAGCAGUAAACUUGUGUUUUUCAUUUUCAAGUGUUCUCUAGAACAUGAAUGCUAUUGUGUUGGGUAAUUUUGGGCAAACAGCAAUCAAAUGAUGAAUGCUUGUUUCAAAUUUAAGAAAAGGAGACAAAAACUAAAUUAUGGUGGUUUGAAAAUCUCCCAAAUGUGUGUUUAUCAUUAAAAAUCCCUUGAAUGGUGGAAAUGUCAGGUUCAGAUAAAAUGUGAGAUUUCUAAUUAUUAAAGUUUUUUCUCUCAAUAAAACACAAAACACUCAUGUGAAUAAGUGUUGUUUCUUGGUUUUAGUCUCUCCACACUGUUUCUUUUCCUGUUUUACGUUCUAAUAAAAAGAGAAAAAAG
Molecule: long non-coding RNA, 2031 nt
Filed under: Takifugu rubripes (torafugu)
Lineage: Eukaryota; Metazoa; Chordata; Actinopteri; Tetraodontiformes; Tetraodontidae
Description: lncRNA (ENSTRUG00000027253.1)
Source: RNAcentral